GAUGAACGCUGGCGGCGUGCCUAAUACAUGCAAGUCGAGCGAACAGACGAGGAGCUUGCUCCUCUGACGUUAGCGGCGGACGGGUGAGUAACACGUGGAUAACCUACCUAUAAGACUGGGAUAACUUCGGGAAACCGGAGCUAAUACCGGAUAAUAUAUUGAACCGCGUGGUUCAAUAGUGAAAGACGGUUUUGCUGUCACUUAUAGAUGGAUCCGCGCCGCAUUAGCUAGUUGGUAAGGUAACGGCUUACCAAGGCAACGAUGCGUAGCCGACCUGAGAGGGUGAUCGGCCACACUGGAACUGAGACACGGUCGAGACUCCUACGGGAGGCAGCAGUAGGGAAUCUUCCGCAAUGGGCGAAAGCCUGACGGAGCAACGCCGCGUGAGUGAUGAAGGUCUUCGGAUCGUAAAACUCUGUUAUUAGGGAAGAACAAAUGUGUAAGUAACUAUGCACGUCUUGACGGUACCUAAUCAGAAAGCCACGGCUAACUACGUG
Molecule: ribosomal RNA, 497 nt
Filed under: uncultured bacterium
Lineage: Bacteria
Description: partial 16S ribosomal RNA
Rfam family: Bacterial small subunit ribosomal RNA
Source: RNAcentral